RNAcentral lists this ribosomal RNA (253 nucleotides) under uncultured bacterium. RNAcentral's name for it is "partial 16S ribosomal RNA". It matches the Rfam family "Bacterial small subunit ribosomal RNA", at positions 524 to 776 of the family's 1533-position model. The record is from RNAcentral.
UACGGGGGGGGCAAGCGUUGUUCGGAAUUACUGGGCGUAAAGGGCGCGUAGGCGGUUUGCUAAGUUGGAUGUGAAAACUCUGGGCUUAACUCAGAGCCUGCAUCCAAAACUGGCAAACUUGAGUACUGGAGGGGAAAGCGGAAUUCCUGGUGUAGCGGUGAAAUGCGCAGAUAUCAGGAAGAACACCAAUGGCGAAAGCAGCUCUCUGGGACGGUACUGACGCUGAGACGCGAAAGCGUGGGGAGCGAACAGG